Molecule: ribosomal RNA, 488 nt
Filed under: uncultured bacterium
Lineage: Bacteria
Description: bacterial SSU rRNA
Rfam family: Bacterial small subunit ribosomal RNA
Source: RNAcentral
GAUGAACGCUAGCGGCAGGCUUAACACAUGCAAGUCGAGGGGUAUAGUUCUUCGGAAUUAGAGACCGGCGCACGGGUGCGUAACGCGUAUGCAAUCUACCUUUCACAGAGGGAUAGCCCAGAGAAAUUUGGAUUAAUACCUUAUAGUAAUACGACUUGGCAUCAAGAUGUAUUUAAAGAUUUAUUGGUGAAAGAUGAGCAUGCGUCCCAUUAGCUUGUUGGUAAGGUAACGGCUUACCAAGGCAACGAUGGGUAGGGGUCCUGAGAGGGAGAUCCCCCACACUGGUACUGAGACACGGACCAGACUCCUACGGGAGGCAGCAGUGAGGAAUAUUGGACAAUGGGCGCAAGCCUGAUCCAGCCAUGCCGCGUGCAGGAUGACGGUCCUAUGGAUUGUAAACUGCUUUUAUACAGGAAGAAACACACCCUCGUGAGGGUACUUGACGGUACUGUAUGAAUAAGGACCGGNUAACUCCGUGCCAGCAGCCG